RNAcentral lists this ribosomal RNA (404 nucleotides) under Actinomycetes bacterium. RNAcentral's name for it is "Actinobacteria bacterium partial 16S ribosomal RNA". It matches the Rfam family "Bacterial small subunit ribosomal RNA", at positions 355 to 776 of the family's 1533-position model. The record is from RNAcentral. Lineage: Bacteria; Bacillati; Actinomycetota; Actinomycetes.
UGGGGAAUAUUGGACAAUGGGCGCAAGCCUGAUCCAGCCAUGCCGCGUGAGUGAUGAAGGCCCUAGGGUUGUAAAGCUCUUUCACCGGUGAAGAUAAUGACGGUAACCGGAGAAGAAGCCCCGGCUAACUUCGUGCCAGCAGCCGCGGUAAUACGAAGGGGGCUAGCGCUGUUCGGAUUUACUGGUCGUAAAGCGCACGUAGGCGGACUAUUAAGUUAGGGGUGAAAUCCCGGGGCUCAACCCCGGAACUGCCUUUGAUACUGGUAGUCUUGAGUUCGAGAGAGGUGAGUGGAAUUCCGAGUGUAGAGGUGAAAUUCGUAGAUAUUCGGAGGAACACCAGUGGCGAAGGCGACUCACUGGCUCGAUACUGACGCUGAGGUGCGAAAGCGUGGGGAGCAAACAGG